This 72-nucleotide transfer RNA is filed under the name Erinaceus europaeus (western European hedgehog). It matches the Rfam family "tRNA". From Rfam's summary of the family: Transfer RNA (tRNA) molecules are approximately 80 nucleotides in length. Their secondary structure includes four short double-helical elements and three loops (D, anti-codon, and T loops). Lineage: Eukaryota; Metazoa; Chordata; Mammalia; Eulipotyphla; Erinaceidae. The record is from Rfam by way of RNAcentral.
UGGGCAGUGGCACAGUGUUAAGUGCACGUGUUGACACACGUAAGAACUUGGGUUCAAAUCCCCAUUCCCCAG